RNAcentral lists this long non-coding RNA (457 nucleotides) under Phaseolus vulgaris (common bean). Its description in RNAcentral is "long non-coding RNA (PVUL_LNC005289)". Lineage: Eukaryota; Viridiplantae; Streptophyta; Magnoliopsida; Fabales; Fabaceae. The record is from RNAcentral.
ACGGGAAGCAGGUGGCGCGUGACUUCACCUACAUCGACGACAUCGUGAAGGGGUGUCUCGGGGCGCUGGACACCGCCGAGAAGAGCACCGGGAGCGGCGGGAAGAAGCGUGGGCCGGCCCAGUUGAGGAUUUACAAUCUGGGCAACACCUCGCCGGUGCCGGUGGGGAACCUGGUGUCCAUUCUGGAAAACCUGCUGAACACGAAGGCGAAGAGGCACGUGAUCAAGAUGCCGUCGAACGGCGACGUUCCGUACACACACGCGAACGUGAGCCAGGCCUUCCGCGAUUUCUCUUACAAGCCCACGACCGACCUCCCCAGCGGGCUCCGGAAGUUCGUGAAGUGGUACGUGGGCUAUUACGGGCCCCAGCUGAGGCCCAAAAAGGAAUCUCGUCUUGACAACUGAUGCCCUGGCCACGUCAUCUUCUCCUUUAAUUAUUGCUUCUGUCAUUCUUUUUU